This 167-nucleotide ribosomal RNA is filed under the name uncultured rumen bacterium. RNAcentral describes it as "partial 16S ribosomal RNA". It matches the Rfam family "Bacterial small subunit ribosomal RNA", at positions 340 to 524 of the family's 1533-position model. The record is from RNAcentral.
UACGGGAGGCAGCAGUGGGGAAUAUUGCACAAUGGGGGAAACCCUGAUGCAGCGACGCCGCGUGAGUGAUGAAGUAUUUCGGUACGUAAAACUCUAUCAGCAGGGAAGAAAAUGACGGUACCUGACUAAGAAGCACCGGCUAAAUACGUGCCAGCAGCCGCGGUAAU